This is a non-coding RNA of Mycena leptocephala, 100 nucleotides long. The record is from the annotation of a GenBank genome assembly. Lineage: Eukaryota; Fungi; Basidiomycota; Agaricomycetes; Agaricales; Mycenaceae.
UCGGACGUGGUGCACGGCGCAUGCCUGCUUUACCUUUCUCUUGAGGAUGUGUCUAAAUGAAAUGAAGCGGGAGCACCGGGUUCGACUCCCGGCGUCCGAA